UACGUAGGGUGCGAGCGUUAAUCGGAAUUACUGGGCGUAAAGUGUGCGCAGGCGGCCGAGCAAGUCGAGUGUGAAAGCCCCGAGCUUAACUUGGGAACUACGCUCGAAACUACUUGGCUAGAGUGUGGCAGAGGGAGGUGGAAUUCCACGUGUAGCGGUGAAAUGCGUAGAGAUGUGGAGGAACACCGAUGGCGAAGGCAGCCUCCUGGGCCAACACUGACGCUCAUGCACGAAAGCGUGGGGAGCAAACAGG
This 253-nucleotide ribosomal RNA is filed under the name uncultured bacterium. RNAcentral's name for it is "partial 16S ribosomal RNA". It matches the Rfam family "Bacterial small subunit ribosomal RNA", at positions 524 to 776 of the family's 1533-position model. The record is from RNAcentral.